CCCUUAGAUGUUCUGGGCCGCACGCGCGCUACACUGAUGCAUUCAACAAGCCUAGCCUUGACCGAGAGGUCCGGGUAAUCUUUGAAACUGCAUCGUGAUGGGGCUAGAUUAUUGCAAUUAUUAAUCUUCAACGAGGAAUGCCUAGUAAGCGUGAUUCAUCAAAUCGCGUUGAUUACGUCCCUGCCCUUUGUACACACCGCCCGUCGCUCCUACCGAUUGAAUGUGUUGGUGAUGAGCUCGGAUUGGCAGCAGUUGGUGGUUCGCCACCGGCUAUUGCUGAGAAGUCCUCCAAACCGCCCCAUUUAGAGGAAGGAGAAGUCGUAACA
This 326-nucleotide ribosomal RNA is filed under the name uncultured eukaryote. Its description in RNAcentral is "partial 18S ribosomal RNA". It matches the Rfam family "Eukaryotic small subunit ribosomal RNA", at positions 1470 to 1796 of the family's 1831-position model. The record is from RNAcentral.